CAACUCGCCUGCAUGAAGUCGGAAUUGCUAGUAAUGGCAGGUCAGCAUACUGCCGUGAAUACGUUCCCGGGCCUUGUACACACCGCCCGUCACACCAUGAGAGUUGGAAAUACCCGAAGCCUGUGAGCUAACUUAAAGAGGCAGCAGUCGAAGGUAGAGCCAAUGAUUGGGGUGAAGUCGUAACAAGGUACC
Molecule: ribosomal RNA, 192 nt
Filed under: uncultured bacterium
Lineage: Bacteria
Description: partial 16S ribosomal RNA
Rfam family: Bacterial small subunit ribosomal RNA
Source: RNAcentral